RNAcentral lists this ribosomal RNA (253 nucleotides) under uncultured bacterium. RNAcentral's name for it is "partial 16S ribosomal RNA". It matches the Rfam family "Bacterial small subunit ribosomal RNA", at positions 524 to 776 of the family's 1533-position model. The record is from RNAcentral.
UACGGGGGGAGCAAGCGUUGUUCGGAUUUACUGGGCGUAAAGGGCGCGUAGGCGGCGCAACAAGUCACUUGUGAAAUCUCCGGGCUUAACCCGGAGCGGCCAAGUGAUACUGUCGUGCUAGAGUGCGGAAGGGGCUACUGGAAUUCUCGGUGUAGCGGUGAAAUGCGUAGAUAUCUAGAGGAACGCCAAAGGUGAAGACAGGCGACUGGGCCGAGUCUGACGCUGAGGCACGAAAGCGUGGGUAGCGAACGGG